Molecule: ribosomal RNA, 443 nt
Filed under: Trox terrestris
Lineage: Eukaryota; Metazoa; Arthropoda; Insecta; Coleoptera; Trogidae
Description: partial 16S ribosomal RNA
Rfam family: Archaeal large subunit ribosomal RNA (bases 1-155)
Source: RNAcentral
AACAAAAACAUGUCUUUUUGAUUAUAAUUUAAAGUCUAACCUGCCCAAUGAAUUAUUUGAAUGGCCGCGGUAUUUUGACCGUGCUAAGGUAGCAUAAUAAUUAGUUUUUUAAUUGAAAACUGGUAUGAAUGGUUGAACGAGGAAAAAACUGUCUCAAUUUAAUUUAAUUAGAAUUUUAUUUUUAAGUAAAAAAGCUUAAAUAUGUUUAAAAGACGAGAAGACCCUAUAGAGUUUGAUAUUUUAUUAAAAAUUAAAUUAUUAUAUUUUUUUUUUAAUUUUAAUUAAAGUAUUUUAUUGGGGUGAUAAAAAAAUUGAAUAAACUUUUUUUAAAUUUUAUCAUUAAUUUAUGAAUAAGUGAUCCAUGAUUUAUGAUUAUAAGAUUAAAUUACCUUAGGGAUAACAGCGUAAUUUUUUUUGAGAGUUCAUAUCGAAAAAAGAGAUUC